AAUAGAUACCCGGUAGUCCACGCCGUAAACGAUGAGUGCUAAGUGUUGGGGGGUUUCCGCCCCUCAGUGCUGCAGCUAACGCAUUAAGCACUCCGCCUGGGGAGUACGGUCGCAAGACUGAAACUCAAAGGAAUUGACGGGGGCCCGCACAAGCGGUGGAGCAUGUGGUUUAAUUCGAAGCAACGCGAAGAACCUUACCAGGUCUUGACAUCCCGGUGACCACUAUGGAGACAUAGUUUCCCCUUCGGGGGCAACGGUGACAGGUGGUGCAUGGUUGUCGUCAGCUCGUGUCGUGAGAUGUUGGGUUAAGUCCCGCAACGAGCGCAACCCUUAUUCUUAGUUGCCAUCAUUCAGUUGGGCACUCUAAGGAGACUGCCGGUGAUAAACCGGAGGAAGGUGGGGAUGACGUCAAGUCAUCAUGCCCCUUAUGACCUGGGCUACACACGUGCUACAAUGGACGGUACAAACGGUUGCCAACCCGCGAGGGGGAGCUAAUCCGAUAAAACCGUUCUCAGUUCGGAUUGUAGGCUGCAACUCGCCUACA
Molecule: ribosomal RNA, 544 nt
Filed under: uncultured bacterium
Lineage: Bacteria
Description: bacterial SSU rRNA
Rfam family: Bacterial small subunit ribosomal RNA
Source: RNAcentral